RNAcentral lists this transfer RNA (71 nucleotides) under Pentanemus quinquarius. Its description in RNAcentral is "tRNA-Ile". It matches the Rfam family "tRNA". Rfam says of the family: Transfer RNA (tRNA) molecules are approximately 80 nucleotides in length. Their secondary structure includes four short double-helical elements and three loops (D, anti-codon, and T loops). Lineage: Eukaryota; Metazoa; Chordata; Actinopteri; Polynemidae. The record is from RNAcentral.
GGAAUUGUGCCUGAAUUUAAAGGACUACUUUGAUAGAGUAAAAAAUGGAGGUUAAAAUCCUCCCAAUUCUU